GAAGUAGUCUGGGGUGCGACGAGUAACAUGCGGUUCACCUCUACGCGGUGCUGGGUCAAACUGCAAACUGAAGAGCACAGACAUCAAUGAAAACACAGGAGCUCAGCUUACACUCAGCUGGUGCAGCUUUUUCCCUGUUGGAUCUGUCUGUAACAUCCCAAAACAACUAGAAGGAAAUAUUAGAAACCCUCUGAAAUAAUGCUUGGUGCAGCAAAAAUCCCGACACUGUGUCAGUGUAAAAGAAGUGGCCAAACACGCUCGUGUUUACAGUUCCCUGGGAUUUCCCAGGGAGAAGGCAAAGCCGCAGCUUUUGGAGUAUCCUCGCUAGAAGGGAGUACAGAGAUGUCAUCGCUCCGCAGCCUCGGGACUGAUGGAAGAAAUCCCUGGAUUUCGAAAGGCUCCACAGCCACACCUGCUGGCUUGGAGAGCUCUGCACAACACGGGGGAAACCCAGGAUUUUUUAGAGAAAUCACUCCAUAACAAUGCUUAAUGCUGUAUCACACCGUGGUGCCCUCCGGGUGUCAGAAAAAUGGUCCACAUUUUAAAAUAGUGUUCAAGUGCUGUAUAGAUGUUCUUGUAAAAACCUCUUUGUGGCCAAGCCAAGCAUUAAACAAGCUAAAAGACAGAAAUUACAUUUCCUAAGCUCCCACAACCUUUAUACAUGUGCGUCUUUAUACAUUAAAAGGUGAUUGUAUGGUACCUGCUAUUCAACUGGAGAGUUUUCUUUACCCUCUGUUUGGGUGAGUAAACAAAAUGGGGUUUUUUCACUGCUCACUGUGUGAUUUGUGCACUCUGCAGAGAGCCAAAUCUGUUGCUUUUCCAUGAUAAA
Molecule: long non-coding RNA, 829 nt
Organism: Poecile atricapillus (Black-capped chickadee)
Lineage: Eukaryota; Metazoa; Chordata; Aves; Passeriformes; Paridae
Exons: 3
Source: RefSeq, a predicted model, not a curated record